AGUAAAUUCCAUUGUGCUCUACAACUGGAAACAACAGUGAGAAAACAAAACUGGACAGACAUGGAGGGGGUGAUUCAGAUCUGAUCGCUGGCCUGCAAAUUUUUUUGUCCUGUGUUCAGAUAGUCGCCGCCCCCAGGGGGAGUGUAAAUUCACUGUAUGUUUAUGCUGUUAAUGCUUGGAAUUAAUGUACCGGUUUUGGAAAAGCAGAGCUAUACCAUACUGUUUUGGUGUAAAAUCACUUGUUUCUAAAGGAAAUAUGGGAAAAUGUUUAACAGUCAGCAUGGAAUGCGGUCAUAUGACAGGCGAUCGGGAUCCCGGCAUCGACAUGAUGAGCCCACAAUGGGCUUUUUUGCGCUCGCAACCCCUCCCUCCCCCCCUUCCCCGCCAGCAUUCUGCUGCCGGGAUCCCAGGGGUAUGCUGACUGUGGGGAUCCCGGCAGCCGGCAAUGCGAUCCCAACCCGUCAGCAUAUGUCCAUCCAUACUAUCAGUUCCAAGCCACUGAUCAACUCAGACACUGCUGGAGGACUGGCUUAUGGAGCUCUGCAUGUUUCUGCUGCAUAUGUGAAACGGAAUUCACUUUAAACAAGCUGCACAGAAGUCAUGAAAUGGUGCCUCCCUCACAUUUAGAGCAUACAUUGUAUAAACAGUUACAGCACAGAUUCAUGACGCUUGAUAGGAAGUCCCUUGUAUGUUGACCUUUGACCUCGAUCACACCUAUCCGCUAUUAAUGGCCUUUCCGUACAUUAAUAAAAUGCAUGAAAGGUGAAUUUAAUAAUAGAACAAAAGUGAGAUAAUGGUGUAAUUAAAACUAUUGUGCUCUAACAUACUAACACUGCAUUUAAUAUUUUAGGGAACAGCAUUUAUGAGCGCUCAUGUGUUAAUGUGUACUGCCAUUAUAAUAUAUUGUACUCGUAAAUGCAGAAUGCACAAAAUACUUGGAUAAAAUCUGAAAAAUGCAAGAGAAAAAAUAUGCCUAUAGCGUGUAAUGGUUUCGGACAUUUACUGGCCAUUUUCCCAGUGUAAAUACGAGCCCUCAGGUUAUUGUUCAACUUUAGCAUCGCACUUGCAAGUGGCUCAUAAGUGUAAAGUGUAAAGCAAUACCAUGUCAUGCAUCAUGACCUUUUCCUGAACUGUCUUCCUCUCACCUUGCAACAGGCCUCACUGGUUCCAACUCCAUCUGGUUUAGAUUCCAUUUCUACCCUCCAUUCUCCACUUCAGUCAUGGAAUCCUUAUCUGUGCUUUGCAAGGGGAUUUAUUAAGUAAUAGAACAGCUUAUUUAGCUUAAGGGUUCCCGUAAAAAAGAACAAAUGAAGAUAUAAUUAUUGCAUCUAUUUCACCAUCUAUACAACAUACUGUACUUCUGAUAAUAUUUAAGCCUGCAUUAAAUGUUUA
Molecule: long non-coding RNA, 1392 nt
Organism: Pseudophryne corroboree (corroboree frog)
Lineage: Eukaryota; Metazoa; Chordata; Amphibia; Anura; Myobatrachidae
Exons: 3
Source: RefSeq, a predicted model, not a curated record